UGGGGAAUAUUGCACAAUGGGCGCAAGCCUGAUGCAGCCAUGCCGCGUGUAUGAAGAAGGCCUUCGGGUUGUAAAGUACUUUCAGCGGGGAGGAAGGUGUUGUGGUUAAUAACCACAGCAAUUGACGUUACCCGCAGAAGAAGCACCGGCUAACUCCGUGCCAGCAGCCGCGGUAAUACGGAGGGGGCAAGCGUUAAUCGGAAUUACUGGGCGUAAAGCGCACGCAGGCGGUGUGUCAAGUCGGAUGUGAAAUCCCCGGGCUCAACCUGGGAACUGCAUUCGAAACUGGCAGGCUAGAGUCUUGUAGAGGGGGGUAGAAUUCCAGGUGUAGCGGUGAAAUGCGUAGAGAUCUGGAGGAAUACCGGUGGCGAAGGCGGCCCCCUGGACAAAGACUGACGCUCAGGUGCGAAAGCGUGGGGAGCAAACA
RNAcentral lists this ribosomal RNA (427 nucleotides) under uncultured bacterium. RNAcentral describes it as "partial 16S ribosomal RNA". It matches the Rfam family "Bacterial small subunit ribosomal RNA", at positions 355 to 774 of the family's 1533-position model. The record is from RNAcentral.